GUAGUCUGCAACUCGACUACAUGAAGCUGGAAUCGCUAGUAAUCGCGAAUCAGAAUGUCGCGGUGAAUACGUUCCCGGGUCUUGUACACACCGCCCGUCACACCAUGGGAGUCAGUAACGCCUGAAGCCGGUGACCCAACCGAUAAGGAGGGAGCCGUCGAAGGUGGGACCGAUAACUGGGGUGAAGUCGUAACAAGGUAUC
Molecule: ribosomal RNA, 202 nt
Filed under: uncultured bacterium
Lineage: Bacteria
Description: partial 16S ribosomal RNA
Rfam family: Bacterial small subunit ribosomal RNA
Source: RNAcentral